UGGGGAAUAUUGGACAAUGGGGGCAACCCUGAUCCAGCGAUGCCGCGUGUGUGAAGAAGGCCUGCGGGUUGUAAAGCACUUUAGUUGGGGAGGAUUGCGUUGUGGUUGAAAGACCAUAGCGUUGACGUUACCCAAAGAAUAAGCACCGGCAAACUCUGUGCCAGCAGCCGCGGUAAUACAGAGGGUGCAAGCGUUAAUCGGAAUUACUGGGCGUAAAGGGCGCGUAGGUUGUUAUACAAGUCAGAUGUGAAAGCCCUGGGCUUAACCUGGGAAUGGCAUUUGAAACUGUAAGACUAGAGUGAAGUAGAGGGUAGCGGAAUUUCCGGUGUAGCGGUGAAAUGCGUAGAUAUCAAGAGGAACACCUGAGGUGAAGACGGGUUGCUGGGCUGACACUGACGCUGAGGCGCGAAAGCGUGGGGAGCAAACAGGAUUAGAUACCCAGGUAGUCCCUGAGCGGGCUGGCAAGGCGCAU
Molecule: ribosomal RNA, 472 nt
Filed under: uncultured bacterium
Lineage: Bacteria
Description: bacterial SSU rRNA
Rfam family: Bacterial small subunit ribosomal RNA
Source: RNAcentral